CAGGACGAACGCUGGCGGCGUGCCUAACACAUGCAAGUCGAACGGAACCGUUAGUUAAUUCUUCGGAAAGCGAUUUUCGGUUUAGUGGCGGACGGGCGAGUAACGCGUGAGCAACCUGCCUUUCAGAGGGGGAUAACGUUUGGAAACGAACGCUAAUACCGCAUAACAUAUAUUUAAGGCAUCUUAGAUAUAUCAAAGGAGCAAUCCGCUGAAAGAUGGGCUCGCGUCCGAUUAGAUAGUUGGUGGGGUAACGGCUCACCAAGUCGACGAUCGGUAGCCGGACUGAGAGGUUGAACGGCCGCAUUGGGACUGAGACACGGCCCAGACUCCUACGGGAGGCAGCAGUGGGGAAUAUUGCACAAUGGGGGAAACCCUGAAUGCAGCAACGCCGCGUGAGGGAAGAAGGUUUUCGGAUUGUAAACCUCUGUCCUUGGUGACGAUAAUGACGGUAGCCAAGGAGGAAGCCACGGCUAACUACGUGCCAGCCGCGGC
RNAcentral lists this ribosomal RNA (492 nucleotides) under uncultured bacterium. RNAcentral describes it as "bacterial SSU rRNA". It matches the Rfam family "Bacterial small subunit ribosomal RNA", at positions 25 to 518 of the family's 1533-position model. The record is from RNAcentral.